RNAcentral lists this ribosomal RNA (376 nucleotides) under uncultured bacterium. RNAcentral describes it as "bacterial SSU rRNA". It matches the Rfam family "Bacterial small subunit ribosomal RNA", at positions 524 to 898 of the family's 1533-position model. The record is from RNAcentral.
UACGGGGGGGGCAAGCGUUGUUCGGAAUUACUGGGCGUAAAGGGUUCGUAGGUGGCUCGCUAAGCCAGACGUGAAAUCCCUCAGCUUAACUGGGGAACUGCGUCUGGGACUGGAGAGCUUGAGUGCAGGAGAGGAAUGCGGAAUUCCAGGUGUAGCGGUGAAAUGCGUAGAUAUCUGGAGGAACACCGGUGGCGAAGGCGGCAUUCUGGACUGCAACUGACACUGAGGAACGAAAGCCAGGGGAGCAAACGGGAUUAGAUACCCCGGUAGUCCUGGCCCUAAACGAUGAAUGCUUGGUGUGGCGGGUAUCGAUCCCUACCGUGCCGGAGUUAACGCGUUAAGCAUUCCGCCUGGGGAGUACGGUCGCAAGGCUGAA